AGGAACUCGGCAAAUUGCAUCCGUAACUUCGGGAGAAGGAUGACCCUGAGUAGGCGAAAGGGAGGAACCCCCGGAACAGAAAAGGGUGGCAGAAAAGAGGCCCAAGCAACUGUUUACCAAAAACACAGGUGCCUGCGAAAGCGAAAGCUGAAGUAUAGGUGCUGACGCCUGCCCGGUGCUGGAAGGUUAAGGAGAGAGGUCAGCGAAAGCGAAGCUUUGAACUGAAGCCCCAGUGAACGGCGGCCGUAACAAUAACGGUCCUAAGGUAGCGAAAUUCCUUGUCGGGUAAGUUCCGACCCGCAUGAAAGGCGUAAUGAUUUGGGCACUGUCUCAACGAGGGGCCCGGUGAAAUUGAAAUACCUGUGAAGAUGCAGGUUACCCGCGACUGGACAGAAAGACCCCAUGGAGCUUCACUGCAGCUUGAGAUUGAAUCACGGUGACAUAUGCACAGGAUAGGUGGGAGGCUAAGAAGUAAUGCCUUUGGGUGUUACAGAGCCGAUGUUGGGAUACCACCCUUAUGUUGCUGAGAUUCUAACACGGAGACUAACAACCUCGUGGACCAUCUCAGGCAGGCGGUUUGACUGGGGCGGUCGCCUCCUAAAAUGUAACGGAGGCGCCCAAAGGUUCCCUCAGGCCGGACAGAAGCCGGCCGAAGAGUGCAAAGGCAGAAAGGAGCUUGACUGCGAGACAGACAAGUCGAGCAGAGACGAAAGUCGGGCUUAGUGAUCCGGUGGUACUGAGUGGAAAGGCCAUCGCCCAACGGAUAAAAGCUACCCUGGGGAUAACAGGCUAAUCUCUCCCAAGAGUUCAUAUCGACGGGGAGGUUUGGCACCUCGAUGUCGGCUCAUCACAUCCUGGAGCUGGAGUAGGUUCCAAGGGUUGGGCUGUUCGCCCAUUAAAGUGGUACGCGAGCUGGGUUCAAAACGUCGUGAGACAGUUUGGUUCAUAUCCAUCGCGGGCGCAAGAAGUUUGAGGGAGGCUGCUCCUAGUACGAGAGGACCGGAGUGGACGGAUCAACGGUGUACCAGUUGUCACGCCAGUGGCACGGCUGGAAAGCCGCAUCCGGAAAGGAUAAACGCUGAAAGCAUCUAAGCGUGAAGCCCGUCCCGAGAUGAGACUUCUCAUCAGCAAUGAGUAAGACCCCUUAAAGACGAUGAGGUUGAUAGGCUGUGAGUGGAAGUGGCGCAAGUCAUGGAGCGACGCAGUACUAAUAGGUCGAGGUCUUAGC
Molecule: ribosomal RNA, 1228 nt
Filed under: metagenome
Description: bacterial LSU rRNA
Rfam family: Bacterial large subunit ribosomal RNA
Source: RNAcentral